GUCCAUGCCAUAAACGAUGAUCACUUGGUGUUGGAGGUAUUGACCCCUUCAGUGCCGAAGCUAACGCGUUAAGUGAUCCGCCUGGGGAGUACGGCCGCAAGGUUAAAACUCAAAGAAAUUGACGGGGGCCCGCACAAGCGGUGGAGCAUGUGGUUUAAUUCGAUGCAACGCGAAGAACCUUACCUAGAUUUGACAUGGUUUGGAAGACUGGCAGAAAUGUCGUCGCCCGCAAGGGCCGAAUCACAGGUGCUGCAUGGCUGUCGU
RNAcentral lists this ribosomal RNA (264 nucleotides) under uncultured bacterium. RNAcentral describes it as "partial 16S ribosomal RNA". It matches the Rfam family "Bacterial small subunit ribosomal RNA", at positions 793 to 1055 of the family's 1533-position model. The record is from RNAcentral.